CUCGCCCCUGGGGAGGGGAGAUGGGACCCAGGUGUCCGGGAGAGCAGAGCAGGACGCUCGCCCCUGGGGAGGGGAGCUGGGACCCAGGUGUCCGGGAGAGCAGGGCAGGACGCUCGCCCCUGGGGAGGGGAGCUGGGACCCAGGUGUCCGGGAGAGCAGGGCAGGAUGCUCGCCCCUGGGGAGGGGAGCUGGGACCCAGGUGUCCGGGAGAGCAGAGCAGGAUGCUCGCCCCUGGGGA
This is a long non-coding RNA of Gopherus flavomarginatus (Mexican gopher tortoise), 238 nucleotides long. RefSeq lists it as uncharacterized. NCBI's taxonomy places the organism in Eukaryota, Metazoa, Chordata, Testudines, Testudinidae. The transcript has 3 exons. The record is from RefSeq and is a predicted model, not a curated record.